Ictalurus punctatus (channel catfish) is the source of this 1212-nucleotide long non-coding RNA. RefSeq lists it as uncharacterized. NCBI's taxonomy places the organism in Eukaryota, Metazoa, Chordata, Actinopteri, Siluriformes, Ictaluridae. The transcript is spliced from 2 exons. The record is from RefSeq and is a predicted model, not a curated record.
GCGAGGGGUUAUACCGAACACCCGGAACAGAGCACAGCGGAGCGGAUCAUAGCAGAAUAAAUUCAGCAGUAAGAGGAAAUGUGAUGCGGUUCUUUAAUCUCAGGCAGCGACUCUGAUUUACUCCAUAAAAGGAAACUGAUGGAGGAGGUGAUGGUGUGUGAUGGAGUACGCUGGUGUUCCAUGGUGUGUGAACAUUUAUAUUUUAGAGAAUGUCUGUGUUAAAAUCUGGGCGUUGGUGCUGGAUUGAGAAAAAAAGAGAGAGCGAGAAAGAGAGAAUGCCGGUGUUCAAUAGUGAUAGAUAGAUAGAUAGAUAGAUAGAUAGAUAGAUAGAUAAGGCGUUAUAGAUAGAUAACACACUUGUUAAAAAUGGAACUCUGUAGCUUUAUUUAUGAAAUAUUACCUGUAAACAUAAAUAAACAAAUCCACAGUGAGUUAUAAGAAACUAGUGGUGCGAGGAUGCUGCUAUGCUGUCAUGAUAACGCAGUGUGAAUAGAAAUAAAAUAAAAUAAAACAGUUUAUUAACCUGUGGAUUUAAUUCUGUUCCUUUUAUAAAAAUAAACAUUAUAUGAGGAAAGUUUGUAUGAACGCAGAUUCACAGUAAGAAGAAUUUCAAGGACAUUCAAUAAAUCAUGAUCAGUAGAUACGUUCCAGUCUUCUGUGGCCGGACGGUCACGAACACUCUUGAAAGGUUCUCUAGGAGAACCCUACCCAAAGUAUGUCCAUAUCAGAAAAACCCUUUUAGGAAGCUAUAGUAACAGCCCUUAAUUAUCAUCAUAACGACCCUCUAAAGAACCCUUGAACCAAGUACUAGGAAGUUAUUCUGAAGAAAAUAUUUCCUGUGUUCAGAGCUGCUUUACUGCUCGCCACGUUCCGGUUGUUCACAUCACGUACCUGUAGUUCACGUCAGAGUUUUCUAGAGUAGAAGCGUCCAAGAUGGGCUUCCUCAAUAACAUCUAUAAACACAAACACUCGCCUUUUAACCCGAAAAAUAAAAAGACUAACAUGAUGAUAUCUGACUGAGAAGAUGGCGAGUGUUGAAUGUAAAUCUCAAUCUAAAACUGUAGAUUACAGUCCUAACGGUAACGAUCUCAUUAAUCACUGGGUUUAACUGAACAAAAUGGCUUCCUCGCUCGUUAUUCAGCGGCGUAUAGAACAGCACUUGAUCCAGCGCGGACUGUUAUUGUGCAGUUGGUGUUGUUUUUAAUACCAUGG